AACAGGAUUAGAUACCCUGGUAGUCCACGCCCUAAACGAUGUCAACUGGUUGUUGGGAGGGUUUCUUCUCAGUAACGUAGCUAACGCGUGAAGUUGACCGCCUGGGGAGUACGGCCGCAAGGUUGAAACUCAAAGGAAUUGACGGGGACCCGCACAAGCGGUGGAUGAUGUGGUUUAAUUCGAUGCAACGCGAAAAACCUUACCUACCCUUGACAUGCCAGGAAUCUUGCAGAGAUGUGAGAGUGCUCGAAAGAGAACCUGGACACAGGUGCUGCAUGGCCGUCGUCAGCUCGUGUCGUGAGAUGUUGGGUUAAGUCCCGCAACGAGCGCAACCCUUGUCAUUAGUUGCUACGAAAGGGCACUCUAAUGAGACUGCCGGUGACAAACCGGAGGAAGGUGGGGAUGACGUCAGGUCAUCAUGGCCCUUAUGGGUAGGGCUACACACGUCAUACAAUGGCCGGGACAGAGGGCUGCCAACCCGCGAGGGGGAGCUAAUCCCAGAAACCCGGUCGUAGUCCGGAUCGCAGUCUGCAACUCGACUGCGUGAAGUCGGAAUCGCUAGUAAUCGCGGAUCAGCUUGCCGCGGUGAAUACGUUCCCGGGUCUUGUACACACCGCCCGUCACACCAUGGGAGCGGGUUCUGCCAGAAGUAGUUAGCCUAACCGCAAGGAGGGCGAUUACCACGGCAGGGUUCGUG
RNAcentral lists this ribosomal RNA (697 nucleotides) under uncultured beta proteobacterium. RNAcentral describes it as "bacterial SSU rRNA". It matches the Rfam family "Bacterial small subunit ribosomal RNA", at positions 771 to 1473 of the family's 1533-position model. Lineage: Bacteria; Pseudomonadati; Pseudomonadota; Betaproteobacteria. The record is from RNAcentral.